This 467-nucleotide ribosomal RNA is filed under the name uncultured bacterium. RNAcentral describes it as "partial 16S ribosomal RNA". It matches the Rfam family "Bacterial small subunit ribosomal RNA", at positions 28 to 506 of the family's 1533-position model. The record is from RNAcentral.
GACGAACGCUGGCGGCGUGCUUAACACAUGCAAGUCGAACGGAAAGGCCCUGCUUUUGUGGGGUGCUCGAGUGGCGAACGGGUGAGUAACACGUGAGUAACCUGCCCUUGACUUUGGGAUAACUUCAGGAAACUGGGGCUAAUACCGGAUAGGAGCUCCUGCUGCAUGGUGGGGGUUGGAAAGUUUCGGCGGUUGGGGAUGGACUCGCGGCUUAUCAGCUUGUUGGUGGGGUAGUGGCUUACCAAGGCUUUGACGGGUAGCCGGCCUGAGAGGGUGACCGGCCACAUUGGGACUGGGGUACGGCCCAGACUCCUACGGGGGGCAGGGGGGGGGAAUUUUGAAAAAGGGGCGGAAGCCUGAUGCAGAAACGCCGGGUGGGGGAUGACGGCCUUCGGGUUGUAAACCGCUUUCGCCUGUGACGAAGCGGGAGUGACGGUAAUGGGUAAAGAAGCACCGGCUAACUACGU